CUCUUUAAUGUCGGCCGGUGUUGCGGCCAUGGCUUUGGUGUCUUGAACAUAGGUUCGAGUGGGUGCGUUCAGAACCUUCUCCAUACCAUCUGGUAGGUUCAACAGGUGGUGGAUGGUUGAGAGAAGAGGUUGCUCCAUUACCAGGUUCAUUCUCUCUCUAAGGUUUUGGGAAACGUGGGUUGUGAACAGGCAAGGCAAUAGAAAUUGUGCUUGUUUGAUCUGUGAUGAGAGAGAAAGAGGGGGUGGAGGUGUUUAUAUAGCAUGGGUGGGAGAAGGUUCUCCAGUGGAGAGAGAGUUUUCGAGGAGCUUCGGAUAGCGUCCCGAGCUUACCAGAAACCUCCACUUUUCUUCUCUCUUCUGCGCUCUCUCAAUACUUUUCUUCGCGUCUCUCUCCUCUUCUUUUCUCCUUACCGCCACGUGUAAGCACCGGUACCUCGUUUUUUUUGCCCGUAAUAAUGUAGAAAAUGGUCAAGGUUUUAUAGAAUCCUCUACUUUUUUACUUUUUUUUUUUUUUUUUUUUGUUUUGUUUUUGUUUCGCAUGAAUUAUAUACUCUUUCGGAAGCAUCGAUUAUUUGUAUUCCUUGGUAAGAAGAUUCAUUUGGGAGUAAUUUUUUCAAUCUUAAAUUUUAGAAAUUACUUAAAGAUUACUAGAUGACUAUUUUUUUAAAAAAAUAUAAAAUUUGAUUUUUUGUAACGCUUAGAUCUCACCAUCUAAAAAUUGGAUAAUCACCGUUAAAUUUCAAAACUUUUUGAGUAUUUUUUUGUAUAAUUCAACAGGGAUGUCAGCCCCUUCCCAUUUUUUAAAAUUAUUGAUGGUUUUGAAUGCACUAGAUGAAAAUGAAAACCUAGAUCUUAACUUGGGAACAAAUAGUGUUACCACCACGACCCCAACGUAGCAUUUUACUCCCGCGGGAGGAAGAUAUCUUUUGGCAAAGAGUAAUAGUGGUGUGAGGCCCCAUAGAUCACCGUAGAUCUCAAGACUCCCAUCUCAAAAUAAAAAAUCAAUGUCUUUAUGUUUUGCUUCUCUCUCUGCUUAAUUUAUGACAACAAGUACAACAAGAGCACUACUUCCUCCGAGUUUCUCUCUCUCUCAAGCAAUAUGGAUGGCCUUCUCUCCUCCCUCAUUGGUCUCUCACCCUCACGGCCGCCCUCUACUCUUUUCCUCUAUGCUCCCACUCCCCUGCACCUCUCUCACCUUCAUGGCCUCCUUCUACUCUUUUCCUCUAUGCUCCCGCUCCCCUGCACCUCUCUCACCGUCACGUCCUCCCUCUUCUCUAUCUCUCACGGCUUUCCUGCACCUCUCUCUCAGCCCAUUUGAAUAAGCUACACGACAACCACCUCAAGAGAGACCACCUCCCCGACCACGACCAAUGUACAAUCUUCUUUCCCUAGCAUAAUAUUAGGGUGGUUUUACAGAUUUGAAUGUUGGGGCUUUUUUAAAUUAGAAAUUUUAAACUCAUACCAUUGGCUUUGUAGGAUUAGGGUUUAGGGUGGUGUUGCAGAUUUGAAUGUUGUUUUUUUUUAAAAAAAUGAGAUAUUUAAAAAAAUAUGUGGUUCUGUAGGGUUUAAGGUGCUUUUUAAAACUAGGUUUUAGAAGUUUAAAUGUUGGGGCUUUCUUAAAUCAACCAUUUUAAAAACUGUGAUGCUCUGUAUAGAAUGAAAUUGUUGCUCAUAGCUGCAAAACGCUCUAAAAAUGUGCUUUAUUGCCAAAUUAGUCUGAGAUAUCUAGUUGUUUUUCUUCUUUCAAAUGAUUUGGUUCAAGACUAGAUUUUUGCAGCUUAUUCUCAAAUUUUGUUGAAUAAAUCUGACAACUGCUCUCAAAAGAAACAAAUUGUUCUUUUAUUAAGUUAAAAAAGAAAUAGGUUUUACUCACCAGAAAAGUAUACUUCAAUUUUGAUCCUCUACUUAUAGCUGAUGUAAUUCUUAACUCAAUGACUGAUUCCUAUUUAUUAAAUAGUCGACGAGCUUGAUUUAUAAUGAUGAAUAAAAAGUCUACUCAAGCCAAUCCCCAAAUAAUGUAAGUAGUACCUCAAAUAGUGCCGGAAAUGAAUGCCUCAAAUAGUGCUUACUUCCAGGAUGGUUUUGCAUCUAGUGUGACUAUAGGUUAGUGCACAAUUACUCUGGCAGCAAUAAGGGGAAGAUCACUACUCGUAAUACGCUAAUUUUGGCGUAUAUAACUAUGGCUAGUGAUGCAUAAAAAUGUUUUUUUUUUUAUAAAUACCUUGGGUUGUUACAUUAGUAGGUUCAUUCUUGGAGGACGUUCCAGACGUUUGGUUUUUGUUACCACUUAUCAGGAAAUUAAUCCUUCCACACUCUUUUUCAUGUUCUUGCUGUGAACAAAUCCUCCCUCCAAUCCUUAAAAGUUUUUCAAACAUGGUUUCUAAUCCAAACAUUGUUAGAAUUGAGACUGGAGUCACUUUAACUCCGAACGUCAUUGAUUCUCAAGAGAACGUGUGUAUUGUUUCAUAGAUGGUUACAAGUGAUACAAGCAAAGUACAAUAAUGCUUAAUUUUAUUUUUUUUAAAAUGCUUAGAUGCCCAUAUUAAGUAUCAAGGGACUGUGGAAUCUCCCUGAUUGAUAAGCUCCUCUCUAAAUGUCUCUUCCCUAGUCUAGGAUUUGGAAGCCUUCUUGGUAUUGCCAAGUCUAGGAUUUCAAAGACAGUUAAUGCUCCAGCAUUCAAGUUUCACAAUGAGUUUAGACAAAACGACAGUGGAAUGUUUUAUACAAUUGAGGGGAUUAAACACGUCAAUUUCAUCAGAACUACAAAAGCUAAAUACAUCAAUAGUUUUAUUAUCUAAAAAAGGAAAAAAAAAAAAACAUUAUUGGUAAUACAAACUCAAACCAUUAUUAAAGACUUAAGAUAUUUGUUUCAUGUAUGAAUAAGAAAUACAAUAAAGGUUGUGAUGAAAGAAAAAUUAUCGUAAAUGAAAAAAAAUGAAUAACAUUAUUCAACAAUUCCAAUUAAACUGAGAAUAAACCAAGAUUUUUAAAAUUGAGAAAAAAAUUUAUUCAACAAAAUCUGAGAAUAAGCUGCAAAAAUCUAGUCUUGAACAACACUAUUUGAAAGAAGAAAAAUAACUCGAUAUCUCAGGUAAAUUUGGCAAUAAAGCACAUUUUCAAAGGGUUUUGCAGCUAUGAACAACAAUUUCAUUCUUUCUAUACAGAGCAUCAUAGUUUUUUAAAAUCGUUGAUUUAAAAAAGCCCCAAAUUUAAACCUCUGAAACCUAGUUUUAGAAAGUAUCCUAAACCCUACAGACCCACAUAUUUUUUAAAUCUCUCAGUUUUUUUUUUAAAAAAACAACAUGCAAACCUGUAAAACCACCUUAAACCCUAGUCCUACCUAGCCAAUGUUUUGAGUUUAAAAUAUCUAAUUUAAUAAAGCCCCAACAUUCAAAUAUGUAAAACCACCCUAAACCUUAAUAUUAUGCUAGUGAGAGAACAUUGUACCUUGAUCGUGGCUGGGGAGGUGGUCUCUCUUGAGGUGGUUGUCCAGUAGCUUAUUCAAAUGGGCUGAGAGAGAGGUGCAGGAAAUCGGUGAGGGAAAGAGAAGACGAAGGACGUGAGGGUAAGAGAGGUGCAGGGGAGCCGAAGCAUAGAAAAAAAGAGUAAAGGGUGGCCGUGGGGUGAGAGACUAGUGAGGGAAGAGAGAGGACCGUUCACAUUGCUUGAGAGAGAGAAACUCAUAGAAAGUAUGGCUCUUGUUGUACUUGUUAUAAAUUUAACGAGAGAGAAAAAAAAGAACAAAGCAUUAAGGCAAUUGACUUUUUAUUUUGAGAUGGGAGUUUUGAGAUCUACGUGAUCGGGGGUCUCACACCUUCCAGGUUCCUAUAGGAUCAUUACUAUUAGAUUUUAGCUUUUUAAUAAUUUUUCAUUAAUUAUUGAUCCUCACAUGUAUCUAUUAUAACAUCAUUAUGGGGGGGGGGAAGAAUAUUCGAGGGACAUUUGAGAAAAUGUUUAUAUAGGGCUGAGGCUCUAAACAAUCAAAUUAGAGCCCACAUCAAAAUGUUAACUAGAAGAGGUUGUUUUGAUUAUCAGAUAUCCUCAAAUUGAUCAUCUCUACAUUAAGAUGCAUAAACAUGAAAAAAAAAUGAAUUUCAAGUCUUAAAAAUAGUGUAUUUUAUAACAUAUUUUUGGACUGUCAAUAUUGAAGAUUUUCAUAUAUCUGCUCAAUCAACACUAUUUUUGAAGCUUUAAAUUUUUAUAAUUAGAUAUAAACAUACAUUAUAAGACUAUCACAAAUAUUUUCAGUAUUAAAAUUAUAUUUUUCGACAUUAUUUGAUUGUGCGUUGUAUUUUGAUGGUUUAAAACAUCGCUCUAUAGCUCUCGUCAAACAGCCGAAAUAUUAUUAUGGCAAAUCGGACUUACCCGUGCCGAAAAAAGAGAACAAAAAAAAAAAAAAGGAAAAAGAGAGAAGAAAAGUAAAGAGAGAGAGCGCAUAAGAGAAAAGGAAAGUGGGGCUUUCUCGUGAGGUCGGAUCCUUUAAAAAGCUUCUCGAAAACUCUGUGUCCCUUCCACAACAUUUUCCCAUCCUUGCUAUAUAAACACCUGCACCCCCCCACUUUGUCUCUCAUCAGAGGUCGGAAAAGUGGAAUUUUACUCACAAUUUUUAGAGAAAGAAACGAUUCAUUGUCAACAUUUCCCAAAAUCUUAGAGAGAGAGUGGACUUUGUAAUGGAGCAACCUUUUCUCUCAACUAUCCACCACCUGUUGAACCAACCAGAUGAUAUCGAGAAGCUCCUGAACGCACCCACUCGAACCUAUGUUCGAGACACCAAAGCCAUGGCCUCGACACCGGCCGAUAUCAAAGAGUACACCAAUUCGUAUGUCUUCAUGAUCGACGUGCCCGGCCGCAAAUCCGGCGAUAUCAAGAUUCAGGUCGAAGACGACAGGAUUCUCAGCAUCAGUGGGGAGAGAAAGAGCGAGGAGAAAGAAGAUCCGGAGGCCAAAUAUGUGAGAAUGGAGAGAUGGGUUGGGAAAUUCACGAGGAAGUUCAAUUUGCCUGAGAAUGCGAAUGUGGAGGCCAUUUCAGCUGCUUGCCAAGAUGGGGUUCUUACUGUCACUGUUCAGAAGCCGCCUCCUCCUCAGCCCAAGAAGCGCAAGACCAUUGAGGUCAAGGUUGCUUGAGUUUAGAGAGAGAGUGGUCUUUUAAGUACUUUGGUUUCUUUUCUCUUAAAGCUCUUACUGUGUGCUUUCAUGGUGCGCCUGAGAAUAUAUCUGUGAAAUUGAUGUUCUUUUUUUAUGGCUGGGUGCUUUUGAUUUCAGCUUGGAUGGUACAUAAAGGUGGAUAUAGGUUUCUGGUUAUGGUAUUAAAGAUAUAUAGAGUAUGAGAAUGAUUUGUGGACAUGACGACUCUGUUCUCUUCUUUGUUUUCUGGUUUCCAUGGACGCUUUUAUUCCGGUGUUCAAAAGCGGGAUCGGAGGGGAAGAUCGGGUUUGAAUUGAUCAUAAAAUCGAAUCGGAACAGACAUGACCCUCGAAGCGGGGUAAACCGAUCAAUUCAACUAUUCUAAUUGAGUAAAUUUGGGUGGUCAAAAAAAAAUGUUGAAAAAUUUAAAAUAUAUAUAUAAAAAAAUCUAUUAAAGUAUAAAAAGUAUAGUAUAGUUUCUAGAAGGUUGCAACCUUAAACAAUCCAAUUAAGGCAGACUUUCAAAUUCUAUCAUAUUAUAAUAAUUUGGGUGGAAAAUAAUUCUUUGGAUUAUUUUAAAAACUAUUUUUAACUCCAAUUAUAAAAUUUUAAAUUUGAAAAAUCGUUAAAUCAAGUAAAUUUAUAAACAUAUGAAAAUCUCAUAUUUGAAAAUGGAUGGUCUAGAUAAUGUAUUGGAUAUUGCACUAUUUUUGGGAAUCAAUUGUUUAUUUAUUUCUUUUAUAUUCAAUCAUCUCGACAUGAGCAAUUACAUGGUUUUUCAACAUCAAAACAACCUUUUUUGAUCGAUUUUUGAGGUGCAUCUUUAAUUUUACAUUUUAAGGUUGCAUUGAUAUAAACUUUUUUCUAUAACUAUUGAUUAAACUACAUUCAAAUGAAGUUGAAAAUUAAUGAAAAAAAUAGAUUUUAACGAAUCGAUUUUUUAGUUAAAGGCUAUUGAUGACAAAAAAUAAUAAUUAAUCUUUAUUUGAAAAGUGCAUUAUAAACAAAUUUUUUUAUUUUUAAGAAUUUAUAUAUAUAUAUAUAUAUAUUAAUUUUUUUUUUUAAAUACUGGUCAAUCACCAAACUACCCAAAACCAGAACCGGCCAUUGGCCGGUUUCGAUCUAACCGGGUGGUUAGCGUUUAGAUCGGUAGGUUUUUAAACAUUGCCAUAUUGGUGAUCUAAGAAACUCAAAAUAAAUGAAACAAAAUUAAAGGAAAUGGUUUUUAUGAGUCUAUGUAGAAAUGAGUCAUCUCUUUUAAAUUUAUAUUUUAAAUGAAUUUUGGCCCUAAUUUUUAAGGACAUGUGAUCUCUAACAUGGAAUAAAUAAAUAAAAUUUAAAAAUUUAGAAUUAUUUUCAAUUUUAAAGAUUGAAAAUAAUAAUUCUGUUAAAAAAUUAUUUAGACAGUUAGUUUCAAGUUUUUUUAGAUGGACAAUCUAUUUGCAUCCCUCUAUAAGACCGAUGCUUUUUAUGAGGUUGGGAUUUAGAGGCGGAUUACAAAAAAAACAUUAGAAAAGCCUAGAAAGAGAGUUGUGUAUAGGCCAAUUUCGAGGAAACUGGGUCGGACCCAUACAAUCUAAGUUCAAGAUGGAUUUCUAUUCGGAUUGGUGAUUUGAAUUGGAAAUUGUCGAGGUUUAAAACAGUCUCAACCGAUUCCUAUCUGGACAGCUGAUUUUGUAUGGAAAUCGCUGGAUUUCGAAUUACUCUUUUUAUCGAGGUGGUAUAUUAUGAUUGUGGGCUUAGAUAUUUUCUUAUUUAUUUCCUUGUUUUUAAGAAUUUUGGACGUUUUCUGUUCGCGUUUUCUUAUCUUGUUGCAAUUUUGGUUAUAAACAAUUUUGAGUUUGGGCGCAAUCUUUGGGUAGAACUGUGAGAAACAAUCUGAUGGGCAAAUUGUAAAGCUCAAUUGGGAGCAAAUUUUAAAUUUGGAAAAAGUUUAUACAAAGGUAGGCCCCAAAGCACUUAAGAAGUAGUUUUUGAUGCCUAAAAGCUCUGAAAUCGAUCAUCUCAACUUUAAGAUGAAAGGAUUUGAGAAAAUAUGGAUUUUAAUAUUAAAAUUAUUGUAUUAUAUAAUGUAUUUUGUGGACCGUCAAUUUUUAAAAUUAAAAAAUAUUUAUAUAUAUGUUCAAUCUACACUAUUUUUGAAGCUUUAAAUUUUAUAAUUAGAUAUGAAAAUAAAUUUUUAGACCAUUACAAAUAUUUUCAGUACUGAAAUAAUAUUAUUUGAAGGUGCGCUUUACUUUGAUUGUUUAGAACCUCAGCCUUAUACAAACCACACUCUUGUUUAAGAAGAUUUGGUUAAUCUUUUUAUAUAUAAUAUAUAAAGAGGUCCAUGACUUAGUGGCAAAAUCCAUCUCAGGUUCGGAGUUGGUUUGGAUGGUUGGUUCGGCAUAUAAAAUUGCUUCUUUAAUUGUAAUAGUCAACAAAAAAAAAAAACAAUGGAGAUAUAAGAGGGGAUUUUCCAAAUUUGAGCCUACCUCGGCUCUAUAUAUUUGAGCCUACCCCCAAAAUUUCAAUAGAAGAGGUUGUUUUGAUGCCCAAAUAUCUUCAAAUUGAUCACCUCAACAUCAAGAUGCAUGGAUAUGAGAAAAAAAUGAAUUGCAAGUUUUGAAAAUAAUGUAUUUUGUAAUGCAUUUUUUGACCGUUAAUUUUCAAGAUUUUCAAGUUUCAUGGAUAUGUCAAUUUACACUAUUUUUGAAACGUUAAACUUUAAUAAAUAUAAAACUAUAAUUUUAAGACUAUCACAAAAAUUUCUAAUAUUAAAACCAUAUUUCUCGAUGCUAUUUGAAGGUAGGCUCUAAUUUGAUUGUUAGAGCCUAGGCUCUAUACAAACCGCUCCGGUUCGACUCGGAAACAAGCGUGACCAUGCCGGUUCCAACCGAAAACCGGAAACAGCCCGAUUCUAGAGUAGAACCGCCGGUUCCCAUCCGGUUCACACACGUAACACACGACACCUACGUGCGAGCGUGCCCCACGUACACUCACACGCGCACACGUGUGUCCGAGCGCACGUGCGAGCAUGCCCACAUGCCCCACACACACUCACACAUGCACACGUGUGUUCGAGCACACGUGCGAGCGUGCCCCACGCACACUCACAUGCGCACACGUGUGUCUGAGCGCACAUGCAAGCGUGCCCCACGCAUAAUCACACGUGCACACGUGUAUCCGAGCGCACGUGCAAGCGUGCCCCACGCACACUCACACGCGCACACGUGUGUCCGAGCGCACGUGCGAGUGUGCCCCACGCACACUCACACGUAACACAUAACACGCUCGCACGUGCCUGCACACUCACACGUGCACACGUGUGAGCAUGCUUGCGUGCCCCACACACACUCACACGUGCACACGUGUAUCCGAGCGCACGUGCGAGCGUGCCCCACGCACAGUCACACGCGUACACAUGUGUCCGAGCGCACGUGCGAGCGUGCCCCACGUACACUCACACGCACACAUGUGUAUCCAAACGCACAUGUGUGGUUGCCCUGAUAUUUUUAUACACAUGUUAUAAUUCAUAUUUCAUAGGUAUUUAUAUACCAAAUUUGAAUAUCCAUCUUUCGAUGGGGGAUAAUUCUCAAACAUUAUUAAAUGAAAACAAAAUGUAAAUAUAGUCUAUUAAUCAGCAAUUUAUAAUUACAUGUAGUUAGAUGGCUUGAUGGUUAUGAUUUUGAAUGUUUUAUUUGAGGUCCUAAGGUCGAAUCCCCUUGGGCACCCCCUUGGGCAUGUGUUGCAUUUUUGUUGUAUAUAUAGUGGUUGGUAUAAAUAUUUUUGUUGUUUUCGAUUCCCCUUGGGCAUGUGUUGCAUUUUUGUUGUGUAUAUAGUGGUUGGUAUAAAUAUAAAUAUUUUUGUUGUGUAUGUAGUGGUUGGUAUAAAUAUAAAUAUUUUUGUAAAUAAUAUAAAAGACAUAAAAAAUAAAAAAAUUAAUUUUUAAUUUAACCGUAAAUUUUUGUUGUAUAUAGUGGUAUAAUUAUUUUUGUAAAUAAUAUAAAAGGUAUAAAAAAAAUAAAAAUAAAAAGUUUAUUCUAUUUGAAAUCUCCAUCUUUCUACUAACAAUCUCUUUUACUAAAUUUAUUAUCGAAACCUAAAAAAAUAAAUUUUGAAAAAUUGAAGUGUUAUUUCUAAAAUUUGUGUGCAUUUUAUUAAUUUUUACAUUGAUAACCAAAUCUUUUAUUUUAUUUAUGAAUUUUUACAUUAUAAAUCAUGUAAUGUACUUUUUUUCUUACAGUUGUCAAAAAUACAUUUUAAAUUAGAUAAUAUUAUAAAAUAUUUUUAAUUUGUUAUUAUUUGUCUAAUAAAAUAAUUAUAAAUGUAAACCAAUAAUUAUAAUUUUAGUAUAUAUUAUUAUAAUUAGUGAAGUUGUAAUAAUUUUGGAUUAUAGUUAGUUAAGUUGUAAUAGUUUGGGUUUUUUUAGCGGGUUAAGGUUUUUCGCCAAAACGAGAUUUUAAUGGCCAUUCUUUCAUUGAUUAGUCUACUCUUAUAAUAGUCCAUAUAUAAUUAUAUAUUUUAUCCAUGAUAAUUCUAUGAUUUUUCUUUUAUGUGAUGCAAAUUUAAUAGUUAAAAUAAAUUUAUACAGGGAAAGAACAUCUCAAUAUUCAUAAAUUGAUAAAAAAAAUGAAAGUUAAUAAUGCAGUACGCUUAUUUUUUAUUGGAUUCCUAAAAAACAAUAUUUAUAAUGGAUUUUAAUAAUUUUUUCGGAUUUUUUUGAAACUUUAAUCUGACCGAUUCAGCCGAUUCCCGAUCCGAAUCGCCGAUUCGUUGAUCCUAAUCGGUUUUUGAGGGGCUCGAUCCAGGUCACCGAUCCGUUUUUUAAACCAUUCCUUUUACCAAUUCCCUUUGCAAAUUGAAGAACAAUCAAAUUGUACGCCACCCACAGGCUUCAAAUACGAUAUAAUGUUACUACCUAUCUUCUUGGCAAAAAUACACACUCUAUCAAAACAAGUAAGGCCUCGCCUCAUAACUCAUCUAAAAUUGCGAGUCAAGCAGUACAAAACUUUUGAUCAUCUUAGCUUGAAUAAUAUGGUUGUGAGAAAAUUAAAAAAAUUUAUAUAAAUAUUUAUUUUAUUUUCUGUUAUUACAAAAAUACCUAAUAUUUUAUGUUAUUACACGUAUAUCUAUUUUUUGAACUCUAUAACAAUUUUUUUAAAAAAGACCAAACUGCCCUUUUUUUUUGAAAAAUAUAAAGUUUAAUAAUUUUGGUGUUUGAAAAUCCGGAAAUUUAAUAAUUUUGGUUUUUUGAAAAACCAAAAAUUUAAUAAUUUCGGUUUUUCAUAAUCCCAAAACUCGUAUUCUACAAUUCAAUAACUUCAAGUAUUUAUGGUUGAAUUAAAUAGGACUUUUGGUUUUUCAAAAACCGAAAAACUUCUAUUUUUGGUUUUUUCAAAAACCGAAAUUCCAAUGUUUCCAUGAUUAGGGCCUCCCAUUAUUUGAAGAUGCACCCUUGAUUCUGCUGUUUAGAUUCUUCAUGAAGUCCUUACCAUUGAUUUCCUUUUAUAUUUAUUUGGUUGAAUUUUGUUGUUUUAUUUAUUGUCUCUUAUCUGAUAUGCCAAUGAGUAAUUGUAUGUUGAUUAUUUCAUCCACAAGAAUUUGUUCCUAGGGCUCUGUUUGCAGAGAAGCCGUACUCUGCAAAUGAUGCAUGGAGGAAACUCCACUCUGAUCCCUUGCUCAUGAUUCGGCUAAGGGAGCAGGAGGCCCUUGCCAACAACCCUAUCAAAAAAUGGAAAUGAUUUACAAAUCUAUAUGCCUCUCUUAUCCUUUUGCUUGGCUCUUUUUAUAUUUUUUUUUUGUUCCCAACUAUGUCGGGGAAAAAAUUGAACUCAUCAAAUGAGUAAACUUGUUAUUCUUUUGAUCUUCAAUUGCCCUUCCUGAUACAAGAUCAAAAAAGGCAAUGGAAGAUCAAAUAUGCACGCAAAAGACACAAGUCUUGUGACAGAAAAAAGUAGCCAUCCCCAUGACUCAGAAUCAUGACUCAAAAAAAGUAGCCAUCCCCAUGAGUGAAAGCGAGAGAAUAAAGAGCAAGUACUACUCUGCCAACUCCACCAAGAAAGACAAAGCAUACGAGAGAGACUCAGAAUCCUCUACGAGUAAAAGCAAGAGACAAAAGAGCAAGCACCACAGCUCUUCAAGGUCUGCUGAUAAAGAAAAACUAGAGAAACACAAACUACAAAUUCGGUUUACCAAAUACAUAAAUUUCUUCAAUUUUGGUUUUUAAAAAGUUGAAAGUAGGUAGUUUUGUCUUUUUAAAAACAAAAUUGUUGUGAAGUUCAAAAAAAUGACAUACAUGUAAUUACCGAAAGUAAAAGGUAUUUUUGUUAUAACGGAUACAUACUUAAGUUUUCCUAAAAAAAAGUUUUAAGCUUUAAAAAUAGUGUAUAUUGUAACAAAUUAUCUAAAUUGUCUAUUUCACCCUAAAAAUAAGUAUUCAUAGACCCUCAAGAUCUAUACUAUUUUUUGAGCUUCGAAUUUGGUUAUUGGUGUUGGAAAUUGAUUUUAUAGAUUUCCGUUACUAAAAGUGCUUUCUGGAUGAGGAUUUGAGGUUAGGGUUUAUUUUGUUUUCAUAAAGCCUAGGCCAUAUAGAAACUUUAUCCCAUUAAAAAUUAUAAUAUGAACACGCAACCAUUGAAAACUUUUGUGGAUUCUCGGGUGUAUGUUCUCUCAGCCAGGUUUUUGCACGGGGGGGUAAAUGUGCAAUUUACUCCUGCGAGAGCAGAAUAUUAUUUGGUCUACCAUGUUGACCGAACAUAUAUGAAUAUAAGUUGUGUGAGAUAUUUAGCGUGUGCAAACCUAAGUGGUGCCUUAUAUGUUAUAAUAGAUAGAUGACAGAUUUUUAGGAUUGAAACUUAUUAAAAUAGUAUAGUGACAAAUUUUGCACACUGUACAUACACCUAAAGGAGGUCUUGCAAUGAAAAAGAGACUAUCUAAUUUUUGCAGUGUUUAUUUCAAAAAGGAUGAAGUUUUUAUAGGGCCUAGGCUUUAUGAAAACAAAAUAAAAAGCUUCACCUCAAAUCCUAUAAAAAGCUUCGCCUCAAAUCCUUGUUUCGAAAGCGAUUUCGGAAUCAUAAAUCUCCAUAAUGGAUCUAAAUCAAUUUCCAACUGAUAAAAAAAUUUAAAAUUCAAAAAAUAGUACAAAUCUUGCUGAGCUAUGAAUGCUUAAUUUUUUGCUAAAAUGAACGGUCUAGAUAAUUUGAUACAAUAUACACAAUUUUUAAAGCUUAAAAUCCUUUUUUUUUUUCCCACCACUAAUAUGUUCAAGCCAAGAUAAUAAAUGUAAAGGUUUUUCAAUGCUUGGAUUGUAGUUUUUGACGAUCUACGUGGUGUGGCUUUACUUUUGAUAGGGGACAGCCCUAUUAAACCAUUUUCCUUUCAAAAAUACUCACGGGUCAUUUUAAAGUUCCACGAAUAUUUAAAGGGAAAAGUUUAUAUAGAGCUCAGGCUCUAAACAACCAAAUUCAAACUUACCUCAAAAAUUUCACUAGAAGAGGUUGUUUUGAUGCCCAAAUAUCUUCAAAUUGAUCAUCUCGACAUAAGAUGCAUGAACAUGAAAAAAAAAUAGAUUUUAAGUUUUGAUAAUAGUGCAUUUUGUAAUGCAUAAUUUGACCGUCAAUUUUCAAGAUUUUCAAGCUUUCAUAGAUCCAUUUGAUGUACACUACUUUUAAAGCUUUAAAUUUUAUAUUUAGAUAUGCAAAUAUAUUUGAAGGCUAUCACAAAGAUUUUCAGCAUUGAAAGGUGGGCUCUACUUUAAUUGUUUAGAGCCUCGGCUCUAUACAAACUGCACCCAUAUUUAAAAGGACAAUUAGUUUGAGUCAUCCGACUCACUGAGAUUUGUGAGUCCCCUCGUGCAUCAAACGCCCAUCUCUAAGAUGGAUAUAAAAAAAGGUAUCUGAAUUAAACUUCAAGAUGGAUGGGAGAGAAAAAAGAAUAAUAAAUAUUAUUUUUAUUUUUGAGAAAAGAAAAACUUCAUAUUUAUGAAUCAAUUAAUGAAUGGCGUGCUCAUUAGACCACCUCAAGCAAAUGUACCAUUGGGAAAAGGGUCUCACGGUGGUGGCACCCCCACACCCUAAUCACUACAUUGUAAUUUCUAUUUUCAUAACACCACCGCAUUAACAUUUUUUAACACAACCGUAUUAACAUUUUUUAAAAAAACUAACUCCUAAACUAUUUGAAGAAACAAGUAAGAGCCUACCUUCUCCAUUGAAUUACCCAAAAAAAAAAAACCAUCAAGAUUUUAAUAAACCUAAAAUCUCUUAGAUCUAAAACCGAUCCUUAACCUUACGAUGUACGUAGAAAGGGAGACACACAUCAAUAGUUGAGUUGGCCUACUCACCAAAUGCUUUUCCAUAUUUAAACCAAAGGAAUACUCUUCAACGAGUGUCUUACUAGAAAAACGGAAAAUUAUCACAAAUACCUUAAUUUUCAUCUAUUUACAAAAAAAAAAAAAACCUUUAACAUUCAUAAACUUUGCCCAUACUUUUUUUUUUUUAGUGUGUUUUACCAAAAUAACCUUCACAGUAAUCGUAUUAUCAUGAAGCACAAUUACAGUACUUUAACUACCAUAAAAAUUAACCUAAGUUACACGACAUUUUAAGUACUAUAAAAACUAAACCAUAUAACACUUAACAUGCCAUAAACCUUUAACAUGAGUUAAUUUUCAUAAUACUUAAAAUACCGUAUAACAUGGAUUAAUUUUUUACGGCUAUUUUCGAUACUCAAAAUACUGUAUAAUAUAGAUUAAUUUUUACAAUACUUAAACUUACGGUACUUAAAAAAACGUAAAACAUAAAUUAAUUUUUACAGUCCUUAAAAUACGGUAUAACAUGAAUUAGUUUUUACGGUACUUAAAAUACUGUAAUUAUAAUUUACGAAAAUACGCCUACCGUAAAAAUUAUUUUAAUCAAAAAAUACCAAAAUUGAAAAAAACAAGCAAGAUUUAUAAGAGUUGAAAGUUUUUUCUAAAUAAACAAAAAUUAAAAUAUAUUUAUGAUAAUUUUCCAAAAACAAAAUACCAUGAAUCACAUAAUUUUUUUUUUUCUCUUUCAAGGUCCAAAGUUUGGCCGCAAUUUCUCCCAAUUUUUAUACCUUAGCCCCAUGCUCACCGUUGUAGGAUGAAGAGUUCAAAAUAAACGUCCAUAUAUAAAAAUUAGAAAUAAAGUUAUCUACUAGACCAUUAUUUUCAUUCCCAUAAAAGUGAAUACAGUUUUGGGUAAAUCUUAAAAUGAAAAAUGAAAAUAUCUCAAAAUUUGAAAAAAAAAAAAACUCAAUAUCACUAAAACUAGACAAAAUUCAACAUCCUCAUCAUCGUCGAAAUCUUUUCCCGUGUCCUUUAACCCUACUUGUUUUUUUUUUUUUAACCUUUUACUUGAACGCCUUUUACUUGAAUUAAUUUAUUGAUAAAACAUGUAUUGUACUGAGCCUUUUAAUUGAUUUAAUUGAACUAAUUUAUUGAUGAAAACAUGUAUUGUACUAAAUUUGCAUCAUAUAUAGCCUACCACCUAAAUCUAUUUUCUCUUUAUCUUAUUCUAACUGAACCCAAAAAGAAAUCCAAAAAAUGCAACUCAAAAUCACCCAAAAAAAAAAGAAAGAAAAAAAAAGCCAAAAUAACUGGAGGAAUACCAGAGAGAGAGAGAGAGAGAUGUCGCAGGAUCUAAUUGCCUUAUUCAGAUUAGAUCCGCUUUAUAUAUACAAAUGGCCAUUUUACUCAUUUAGGUCUGCUUUCUAGAAAUAUCAUGUUAAAAGACAUCUAAUCCGUUGAAUAAAGUUGUAAAUAAAGAAUGACGUCACGAGGUUAGGUUUUAAGUACAGCUAAAUAAAAAUAGAAAAAAAAAUGAGGUGAUAUUUAAACGAACUAGGGUGUAUAUUCCACCAAAUUAUUCUCAGAAAAAAAAAAAACUAUUUUUAUACUUCAUAUUUCUUUCGUACUAUUACCAAAAACUUACAUCCGCCUUAUAAUAUACCAUCCAAGCUGAAAUCAAAAGCAAAAGGUCAAAGCAAAAAAAAAAAGAUAGAAAAACCCUAAUACAUAUUCAUGCCCAACAUCAUAUCGCACAGUAAAAGCUUUUAGAGAACAGAAACCAAAGUACUUAAAAGACCAUAUUCUCGCUCUAAACUCAAGCAACCUUGACCUCAAUGGUCUUGGACUUCUUGGGCUGAGGAGGAGGCAGCUUCUGAACAGUGACAGUAAGAACCCCAUCUUGGCAAGCAGCUGAAAUGGCCUCCACAUUCCCAUUCUCAGGCAAAUUGAACUUCCUCAUGAAUUUCCCAACCCUUCUCUCCAUUCUCACAUAUUUCGCCUCUGGAUCUUCUUUCUCCUCCAUCUUUCUCUCCCCACUGAUGCUGAGAACCCUGUCCUCUUCGAUCUGAACCUUGAUAUCGCCAGAUUUGACGCCGGGCAUGUCGAUUAUGAAGACAUACGAAUUGGGGUACUCUUUAAUGUCGGCCGGUGUUGCGGCCAUGGCUUUGGUGUCUUGAACAUAGGUUCGAGUGGGUGCGUUCAGAACCUUCUCCAUACCAUCUGGUAGGUUCAACAGGUGGUGGAUGGUUGAGAGAAGAGGUUGCUCCAUUGCCACUCUCUAAGGUUUUGGGAAACGUGGGUUGUGAACAGGCAAGGCAAUAGAAAUCGUGCUUGUUUGAUCUGUGAUGAGAAAGAAAGAGGGGGUGGAGGUGUU
RNAcentral lists this long non-coding RNA (15781 nucleotides) under Amborella trichopoda. Its description in RNAcentral is "long non-coding RNA (ATRI_LNC002542)". Lineage: Eukaryota; Viridiplantae; Streptophyta; Magnoliopsida; Amborellales; Amborellaceae. The record is from RNAcentral.